RNAcentral lists this ribosomal RNA (710 nucleotides) under Fusarium verticillioides. RNAcentral's name for it is "eukaryotic LSU rRNA". The stretch from base 1 to 181 matches the Rfam family "Eukaryotic small subunit ribosomal RNA", at positions 1653 to 1831 of the family's 1831-position model. The record is from RNAcentral. Lineage: Eukaryota; Fungi; Ascomycota; Sordariomycetes; Hypocreales; Nectriaceae.
CUGCCCUUUGUACACACCGCCCGUCGCUACUACCGAUUGAAUGGCUCAGUGAGGCGUCCGGACUGGCCCAGAGAGGUGGGCAACUACCACUCAGGGCCGGAAAGCUCUCCAAACUCGGUCAUUUAGAGGAAGUAAAAGUCGUAACAAGGUCUCCGUUGGUGAACCAGCGGAGGGAUCAUUACCGAGUUUACAACUCCCAAACCCCUGUGAACAUACCACUUGUUGCCUCGGCGGAUCAGCCCGCUCCCGGUAAAACGGGACGGCCCGCCAGAGGACCCCUAAACUCUGUUUCUAUAUGUAACUUCUGAGUAAAACCAUAAAUAAAUCAAAACUUUCAACAACGGAUCUCUUGGUUCUGGCAUCGAUGAAGAACGCAGCAAAAUGCGAUAAGUAAUGUGAAUUGCAGAAUUCAGUGAAUCAUCGAAUCUUUGAACGCACAUUGCGCCCGCCAGUAUUCUGGCGGGCAUGCCUGUUCGAGCGUCAUUUCAACCCUCAAGCCCUCGGGUUUGGUGUUGGGGAUCGGCGAGCCCUUGCGGCAAGCCGGCCCCGAAAUCUAGUGGCGGUCUCGCUGCAGCCUCCAUUGCGUAGUAGUAAAACCCUCGCAACUGGAACGCGGCGCGGCCAAGCCGUUAAACCCCCAACUUCUGAAUGUUGACCUCGGAUCAGGUAGGAAUACCCGCUGAACUUAAGCAUAUCAAUAAGCGGAGGAA